RNAcentral lists this unclassified non-coding RNA (240 nucleotides) under soil metagenome. RNAcentral describes it as "partial contains 5.8S ribosomal RNA, internal transcribed spacer 2, and large subunit ribosomal RNA". The record is from RNAcentral.
AACCAUAGAAACCUGCGGAGUACCUGCGGAAGGAUCAUUACCGAGUUUACAACUCCCAAACCCAAUGUGAACGUUACCAAACUGUUGCCUCGGCGGGAUCUCUGCCCCGGGUGCGUCGCAGCCCCGGACCAAGGCGCCCGCCGGAGGACCAACCAAAACUCUUAUUGUAUACCCCCUCGCGGGUUUUUUACUAUCUGAGCCAUCUCGGCGCCCCUCGUGGGCGUUUCGAAAAUGAAUCAA